CACCCAUUGUCGUCCCUCAAAAUUUUAAUUUAGUUUCAACCCACAAAUUCCCGCGUUCACACCUCCAAUUUUUCAUUCCCCUUUUAUUCCUACCCCACAAAUCCCUCUUCUUUAUUCUUUCUCAUCUUCUCUUUAGCCUUGUGCCAGUGCCGGAACUGUCCAGAGAACGAGACGCGGAGGAGACUCAUUAUGGAGGUACAAUCCCUCUACCUACAGACCUAACCGCUUGGGAGUUUCCGGUGACCCAUAAAAAAUCGUAGGCAAUCUUAGCCACUGGUGGGUUUCGAGUUUAGUCAAAUCAACGUAAACUGGACGUAAGAGUGGUUGUUUGGUGAGUUUUAAGUUUCUUUAUUGUGUAUUAAACACCGUAUUAUGUGUGUUAAGGUAUACUCUCGAUUUGGGCGUUAUUGUAUGUUCAGACCAAUCGUGAUAAGAAGCUGUUAAUGAACAAGAAUUCAGAUACCACAAUGAAGUGUUGUUCCGUAUUCUAGCAAGAUGUGGCUGCUCUUUAACCAUUUGAAAAAGGGUUAAAUGGAUUGUUUUUGCAGGGUUGUUUUGAGUGCCUAUGAUCUUUGCUCCUCGUACUCUUCUCAACUGUCUUCACAUGGUGCAAUGGUUGAAGGAACAAAUGGUGGAGUUGGAACUCUAAAAAGUGGAGAACAUGCAUGAUGAAGAAAAUUGAAAAAUAGUAACGUUAUACGCUCAAAUAAAUGAGAGAUUUCAAGCGUUGCCACAAAACUUUUGACUGAGUUAAGAUAUGGGUUAAUGUUGGUAGACAUUAUAAUUUGAGUAUUUAUUAUAUUGCUUUUGGAUACUUGGCAUAUUUAUUUUGGUUUGAAUAAACUGAUAUUUUAUUUUA
Helianthus annuus (common sunflower) is the source of this 859-nucleotide long non-coding RNA. RefSeq lists it as uncharacterized. The transcript is spliced from 4 exons. NCBI's taxonomy places the organism in Eukaryota, Viridiplantae, Streptophyta, Magnoliopsida, Asterales, Asteraceae. The record is from RefSeq and is a predicted model, not a curated record.